CAGCCACUCCCACACCUGGUACUUUGUCCAGAACUGAGGCUGGGAGUCACGAGACCACAGGCGACUUGUGUAUCCAGACAUCAUCAUUGGAACUGAGGAUAGACAUCAAUGAUUGGGGUGGAUGUGGGUCGACAUAUGCAGAGGUCCACUGGGGAAAUAGCAAAAGGGAGAGACAGAGUGGGAGAGAUCAAAGUCUGUCAUAUCAACCCCACUCUGUGUGACACUGUUGUUUCAUAUACUGCGGGGAGAAGUCUGAAAGCAAGGUCAUGUGAUGAGUGAGCAGCACCGAUGUGACAUGAUGUGUAGGGGAAAUAUCACAGAGGUGUAAGAGGGAUACAUGAGAGACAAGAAGCAGGGACAGAUCAGACUACAAGAAGCACCGGACCUGUUUGUUGUGCCAUACUGUAUUAUGAGUUUACCACACAUCCCACAGCCCCUUGUCUUCUAAUUAAUACAACUUCACCGACAGAGUUCCUCCUAGACAUCAAUGAUUGCUCACCUCCCACUCUCCUAAAAACUGCAUGUACAAUACAUUAAUGAAACAGUCUGUCUUUUAAUACAAGACACUGAAACCUACACUGAGGAUGUAACCUGGAUCAUGGCCACCAUACUAUAAGAACAUCCAGUAGA
Molecule: long non-coding RNA, 630 nt
Organism: Larimichthys crocea (large yellow croaker)
Lineage: Eukaryota; Metazoa; Chordata; Actinopteri; Sciaenidae
Exons: 4
Source: RefSeq, a predicted model, not a curated record